GACGAACGCUGGCGGCGUGCUUAACACAUGCAAGUCGAACGGAGAGGCCCUGCUCUUGUGGGGUGCUCGAGUGGCGAACGGGUGAGUAACACGUGAGUAACCUGCCCUUGACUUUGGGAUAACUUCAGGAAACUGGGGCUAAUACCGGAUAGGAGCUCCUGCUGCAUGGUGGGGGUUGGAAAGUUUCGGCGGUUGGGGAUGGACUCGCGGCUUAUCAGCUUGUUGGUGGGGUAGUGGCUUACCAAGGCUUUGACGGGUAGCCGGCCUGAGAGGGUGACCGGCCACAUUGGGACUGCGAGACGGACCAGACUCCUACGGGAGGCAGCAGUGGGGAGUAUUGCGCAAUGGGCGGAAGCCUGAUGCAGCAACGCCGCGUGCGGGAUGACGGCCUUCGGGUUGUAAACCGCUUUCGCCUGUGACGAAGCGUGAGUGACGGUAAUGGGUAAAGAAGCACCGGCUAACUACGUG
This 468-nucleotide ribosomal RNA is filed under the name uncultured bacterium. Its description in RNAcentral is "partial 16S ribosomal RNA". It matches the Rfam family "Bacterial small subunit ribosomal RNA", at positions 28 to 507 of the family's 1533-position model. The record is from RNAcentral.